GUGUCAGCAGCCGCGGUAAUACGGAGGAUGCAAGCGUUAUCCGGAUUCAUUGGGUUUAAAGGGUGCGCAGGCGGAUAGGUAAGUCAGAGGUGAAAGCCCCCGGCUCAACUGGGGAACUGCCUUUGAUACUGCCUGUCUUGAGUACAGUUGAAGUUGGCGGAAUGUGUCAUGUAGCGGUGAAAUGCUUAGAUAUGACACAGAACACCGAUAGCGAAGGCAGCUGACUAAACUGUAACUGACGCUCAUGCACGAAAGCGUGGGGAUCAAACAGGAUUAGAUACCCUGGUAGUCC
This 292-nucleotide ribosomal RNA is filed under the name uncultured bacterium. RNAcentral's name for it is "partial 16S ribosomal RNA". It matches the Rfam family "Bacterial small subunit ribosomal RNA", at positions 505 to 796 of the family's 1533-position model. The record is from RNAcentral.